Molecule: long non-coding RNA, 3936 nt
Organism: Pezoporus occidentalis (night parrot)
Lineage: Eukaryota; Metazoa; Chordata; Aves; Psittaciformes; Psittacidae
Exons: 2
Source: RefSeq, a predicted model, not a curated record
AGUGUCAUGGGCCCACCGGGCCAAGAAAAAACCACCCUUGUGUUGUCAGUCUAAGUUCAUCUAAGACCAUGAGCUGACCAGCAGCCUAUUCAGGAACCAGGAGCCAUGAGGAGUGUAGAAUUGUUCUGGGGUUGGGGUGGUAGAUUGAGUCUAUGAAGAUCUGACUUCAGUUUCUUGUCCUCUGGUUUAAUUGCCUGAUAGUAUGUAUCUAUCUCAAGUGGUGCUGUAAGAAAUGCAUUAAAUGCAUAAACACUUUGACGUUGAAAGAAUGGGGAAGAGACAAGUAGGUACUGAGAUGGUGCAGAAGAGAUGUCAGACCCUGUGAUGACUGAGGUUUUGCCUCUCUCCAGUUACUGGCUCCCUAGACAUUAAAUAUCUGAAUUUAUUGAAGGGUUUAUCACUUUUGUACUUUCCAGGUUACCUUACACAUUUCUUUUCAUCUCUGUUCACUGAAUUCAGCAUUUUUGGAGAUGCUAAUGAAAUAUAAACAUUUUACCAUGGGUGUUGGCUUCCUUCAGACGUGAAAGACCCAUCAUUAACUCUUCUACUUUGUCCUGUCCCAAGAAAAUUCUGUGAAGUUGUCACCACCAAGUAAUCAAGAAAGUUUCAGAUAAAAAUGGGUACAUGAUUCACCUUUUUCACUAAUUUCAGGAGUGGUUUAGUUUUCUAAGGGCUGAGCAUUGUUUCUCACUCUACUUGGCAAGUUAUGUGCACCAUACCGACCAGUAACGAGGGGUUUGUUGUCUUUCAGAAUAGAGGGUAUUUACAUGGAAAAAAUCUUGCUGGCUUUUGUUCAUGUCAGUGUUUUCUAGGAAUACAGCUCUGCAAUUUGACCAUCUUUUCUUCUAACUGUAUUGUAAUGCUUUCCAGUUCUGUUCCAGUGUGUAAAUAAGUGUCUCCAAAGUAAAUAAAUAAAUUGUGAUAUUUUAAUCCCACCAAAUUAAUUUCUUUCAGCUGCUGGCUAUUACUUUCCUUCUCUGUGUGUGUUGAUUUGUAAUGAGGAGUUGGGGUUACUGAUUUUUGCCUGGACCCAAUCACCUCCGUGUUUUGUGAGUUGUCAUAAAACUGACCACUGUUGUACGAGCAAAUGGUGUCAUUCCUUUGCCAUGAUGAAUUCUAACUUCAACCACCCAGCAGCAGGUGAGCAGCUGAGGGAAGCAGCAUGUUUGGCCAGCGAAGGAAUUCCAGGAUUUUCUGUAUUGCUCUAAGGCUCCCUGUGGAUUGCAGAUUCUCAACUGGAAAGUAAAGGCAAGAUGCUCAAGAAGAUGGUUUUUGACCGUCAAGGAAAACACCGCUUCCUGGGAGCUCCCUCUCUGAAGUUUGCAGCACUGCAGCAGGUUUUAUCACUCUCUCUUUGUUCUGGCAGUGCUCUUAGCUGUGAAAUACCACUGGUACUGCUGUCAUAGCAAAGAUUUGAGUUGUUCCUUGUGACGGCAGGAUGAAAACCUGCUGAAGACCUGUGGCCCAGAUGGCACUGUGUAUCUUUGUAAGGCUUGUGCGUGAGCUUUUGCUGUGAGAGAUAACAAGUUUCCUUCACAAGAACACAUCAUUUUUCCUAGCAUUUAUCUGAAGGCUUCCUCUAGAGAGAGGAAGGUAAAUACUGACCUACUUCACAAAUUGAAGCUCUUGGAUUUGGUCACUUUUAUUCCCAAAAGUGGUUCUUUUUUGUUACGCUUGCUCCCUCAACAGGCUCCUUGCCUUUUGAACGCUGUCUUUCUCUCACUGUCUGAUCCUAGGAUGACAAUACAGAGUUUUCAAGUUGUCUUAUUUGCAUUACAAAAUUAUCUCCUGUAAUCAGUCACUGAGUCUGGCUAAGCACACCCAGGACUGCCUCUCACAACCAAACAAGCGAUGUAAGCCUGAUAGACAAAGGGGAAAACACACUGAGCUGAUCCAGGGGGGAUGUGAAGCUUCCUGCUGUCAGUCAGAGUGGUAACAGCUUGUUUAAAAAGGCAGUGGGUGGAUGUUGACCAUCACUAAUUUUAGAUAACUAGGAUCUGGUGUCAGGAGAAGUGGGGUUUAAUUUUGCAGGCAGCAUGUGAGAGCAACACGCAGCGGGAAUGGAAGAAGGGCACAGGUGAAAGGAAUUUAGGGAUUAGACUAGUUUAUAGCUGCCCUUCUCCACUAGAGUCAAUAACCACAGGGUUAUUCUCUGAAAGAGUAACUCCAUGUUUGCUCUCCACCCUCCGAGUUAAAUAUUGGUUAAUGAAAACUAGCACUGCUCCUGCUGCUCCAGUUUUAAAAAUAUGCUCUGUCUUUCCAAAAAUAGAGAUUGAAUUGAGAAUUGAAAUGUCUGGCCCAGGGCUUGGUCCCAGCAAAUAAAUUGCUUACACUGAGUUUUCCAGCACUGACUUAAGUCUGUCUACGUUGAAGUCUACUGCAAAACUCCCCUCUCUGAGCCCAGGCAGCAUAUGUUCAACAUCCCACCCGAGUCUUGUUUAAGAGGAAAGGGUAUCCCUGCUUCCAUUCUGUUCCCACUGAGGGGAACAGUGUAAGUGUGGAGAGCUGGGGUAGCACAGAAGCUGGUGGGUGUGUCAGUGCAAAUGCAUACAAUUGGUAUUUGCAGUUUACUCCAGAAUAGCGACAUAUGUAUGGGGAUGUCCUCUUAUUCAAAAGCAGAUGACAAACAACUGUUUAUGUGUUUUAAUCAACUAAUAAAUUAUGUGCUUACUCACCUACAGGUUGAUUAAAUGGUGAGGUUUUCUACAAAGAAUAAACACGGUCCAGAAAGGAAAGUUGGGAGAAGAGGAAAUGCAGUUUACAAAAUUGUCCACUCUCUGUUAUACUGACCUCCUAAAACUCAGUGGCCCUUGCACUACUGCAGCCAGCCCCACUGCACUGCUGCUGGGCUGAGCCCUGCCUUUUCAUAGUCAUAGAAUGGUUUGGGUUGGAAUGGGCCAUAAAGACAAUUUAGUUCCAACCCCCUGCCGUGGGCAGGGACACUUUCCGCUAGAGCAGGUUGAUCCAAGCCCUGUUCAACCUGGCCUUGAACACUGCCAGGGCUGAGGCAGUCACAGCUUCUCUGGGCAGCCUGUGCCUGUGUCUCACCAGCCUCACAGGGAAGAAUUCCUUCCUAAUACCUAAUCUGAAUCUCACCUCUUUCAGUUUAAAAUCAUUCCUCCUCAUCCUAUCCCUAAAGCCCUAACAAAAAGUCCCUCUCUAGAUUUCUCGUGCUCCUAUAAACCAGUUGUGUAUUCAAGCCCACAAUGUGCACUGCUUAGCAAGAAUUUGCACCAUCUUCUAUUCCUGCUCAUCUGUCACCGGAUGCCAUUUUUCUGUGUCCCCUAAAAUUUUAUAGGUGGCUCUAAAAGUAUUUGCUUGUGUGGAGGUACGAGUUGUUCUGAAUGGCAUUAACACAAAGCAUCUCGCUGUCUUUUCAGCCCUAUGCCACAUUUACUUUUCUGGAAAAGGGCUGAAAUAAAGUGACUUUGAGACCAUAAUAUCAAAGUGUGGGAGACUCUGGAUUUUGUUUCUAAUUUCUGCCCUGUGUUUUAAUUCUUUUUAAGUCACAAGUGCUCUCAAACCAUAGUAUCUGGCUAUUUUACACUGUGACCAAACUUUGAUUAAAGCAGUUUUGAUACCUUUGGCUUCAUUUUCAAACUGUGACUAAAAAGACAACUACAGGCUAUUGAAUUGCAGCAGUAGAGACUGUGGACUAAAAUGUAUGUGCUAUAUAUAUAUUGUGCACUUUGGGGUCAUUUUUAUGAACUAUUUAAAUACCAGUCAUUAAACUUUUAUACUGCAGAGCUGAGUAGCUACUUGACUUAAAUACUCAAUAACACAAGUGUUUUUAUUAGUCUUGCAGCUACUGGGUUGUGAACUGUAGUUACUGUACAAUCUUCCAGCUAUGCUCUUGUUUUCAGUAACUAUAUUUAGAAGUUUGAACCAUAUAAAAUGUUAAUACCAGACUUAUAGGAAAUAAAUGUCUGUAUAAGC